CGCAUUCAUAAGUCCCGCCCACUGGUCUCGCCGGCGCUGCUUUCAGCGUGAGUAGAUGAGAGCGAGUCAGAGCAGAUCAGCACAGACAAGACAGUUUCUUCAGAAAAUCCAUUGAUAUAACUGGAGAUGUGAAUGAGUGCACUGAAAGUGGAGCUUUUGAAGUCGACGCGUCAGCCUGAAGUGUUGUCGCCGGAGACAGAGAAGAGAGAGAGACGGAGCGGAUCCCAGAGUGUUGAAGCACUACCGAAAGGAAAAGGACAGUGAUUCCCAAACCACAGAGAAAUUAAUUACUGUUGAUGAGUAUCAAGCACAACCUCGACAGAGACUCAGAAGAGGCUGAAAAAAUGGAGGAAAACGAAAAAUUGAGAAAUGAUGACAAAAAAAGCUACCAAAUCUGUUAAAUGAAGUGAAGAUGGCCCUGAAGUCUCAGUGUUCGUCAGCAUCAGUCACAUAACUUGGAAGAUGGGACAGGAUUUGCCACAGAGUAAUUACAGAGCCCUUCCAACAGAACAGGAGCAACGUUGCAGAAAGUGUCCUCAUGUGGUGACCGCCAGCAUUGGUACAGCAAUUAAUGCCAAACUUACUGAAAUUAGAGGGAAGAAUACAAAAACAUCUGAAAACCUUAAUGGUCUUUGAUGAUUGAUAGCCGUGACAGUGUGUUCAAGGUAUUUUGUUGUUGUUGUUGGAGUGUGUUUGUGUGUGUGUGUUUUGCCUUCGCAAAGUUCAGUUUGAUAUCAAGUUGUAAUUUUAAAUUACUCUUAUGGAGUAUAAUUUGAUUGUCUUGUUGAUUGUGUUGAAAUAAAAGUAUUUCUAAUGUAAAUUUGUGCUAGUAAUUGACUGAAAUCAUAUAUGAUUUGUAUAUGCAGAGAUAUUGUAAUAUUUACUGAAAUCAUAAAAGAUAAUUAUAUGUAGAGAUAUGAGGAAUUAGGUGGAAACAUAUAAAGUUUGAAGAACAGACACACAAUUUACCUAUUAAAAACAUAUAUAAUCUGUAUAUAAUUCAUAUGAGCAAAUAAUGCAAAAUUUAAAUGAAUCCUAUAUGACUUGCAUAUGAUUCAAUCAAGAAUUUUAAAUGAUUUGUAUAGGAAAUUUACUGAUAUUCAUACACAUUUUCUACUAAAAUCAUAUACUAUUACAUACUGUUGUCAUGUAAAACUCAUAUAAGAAUUUUGCAGUAUUCAUAUAUGACCUAAAAAUCCCAUAUAAGUUUUAUGUGUGCUUUUUAGUAUGAAAGUGGCCAUAAUCGGUCUGAUUUUGUAUAUGACAUGUAUUGGACUUAUAUGAAACACAUAAGGAAAUUCUGGCUGAUUUGAGUAAAGAAUAUAUAUGGUUGCUGUAUAUGAAACAUACAGGUUUUUUUUCAUAUGAGAUGUACACCGACACCUUCUCAUAUGGGAUAGCCUAAUAAUGAGCCGAAAUAUUUGCACUCUCUGUCCAAUGACAGAGAGUGCAAAUCGGGUUGUCAGCCUGUUAAUAUUAUUGUUGUUGUCAUUGUUAUUGUUGUUUUACUUUAUAACUAUAAUGUUUACUUAAAACCUAACAACAGUAUAUCAUAAAAUAACUAAUGAAUGCUUUAUUCGUAAACUUUUUUUUCUGUUUUGGUAAAGUGCCUCUACUGUUCCAUUACAUUGUUAUCAUGAAGUGUUGUUUUGGUGAUUGUAGUUUACUGAGCUUUUGCCUGCAAAACAAUACGGAAUAGAACGGAAUUGUGUAUGUUAUGUUAAAAGAGAUGAAUAAAAUGGUCU
Molecule: long non-coding RNA, 1745 nt
Organism: Megalobrama amblycephala (Wuchang bream)
Lineage: Eukaryota; Metazoa; Chordata; Actinopteri; Cypriniformes; Xenocyprididae
Exons: 4
Source: RefSeq, a predicted model, not a curated record